UUAGAGCAGGAGUGAGAGUUUAUUAAAAAGUUUUAGAGCAGGAACAAAAGGAAGUACACUACACUUGGGUCAGGCAGGCAACUUGAGAGAUCUAAGUGCCCUGCCUGACCCUUAACUUGGGGUUUUAUGUAUUUGGCAUAGUUCUGGGAUUUACGUCUCAUCUCCCCUGAUUCUUCCCUUGCAGCAGGCUGUCCGCGUAUGUGGUGACCUGCCAGCACUUGGAAGGGGUCGCAUGCACAGUGUGAUUACUGAAGUUGCGCGCAUGCUCACUUGAGGCAUUUUUCCCCUUACCAGUCGUGCGUUCCCAGAGGAAGGUAGGUCAUAUACUGGUUAAAUUCCGCCAUUUUGCCUCUUGGUGCGCAUGCUCCAGGCUGCUUGCCCAGCUCCUGAGAUCUUAUCGGGAAGCGGCUGAUCACCAGAUCAGGGUGUUUUGUAUCUAUUGAGAGACUGUCCUUGCUUGGAGCUGGCUGCAACCAAUUAUUAUUUUACAGAGACAGUUUAACAACCACCUGACCAUCACCUGAUGGUAGCCUGACAUUCCUGUGGGGGCCCUCACCUGUCCUGCUCAUGUUUGCCUAGCUCCCUACUCUAACAUUUCCACUCUGUGGACCCCAGGUUGAGAUCUUCUGCAGGGAAGACUGUCCUCAAAUAGCCUGCUGGGGAGACAUCUCCUUCCCGUUUACCUUUCCAUUUGCCCUUGCGGUGUUAGGCAAAGGCUGAAGCUGGCCUCUGUGGCAGAGGGUUUCUUCCCAACACGCCAAUGACGCUGGUGGAGAGUCUUAAAAACAGCUGUGCUGGGGAGAGUUCUUGGUGUGUACCUUUCAGAGACCUCCUCCUUAAGACUCUCAAAGACUGAGUCAGGCCAGUGGGAGCCUGGCAGCAAUUCUUAGGGGACAGUGACAGCUUUUUGAGGAGGACUAAUUGGCUUCUAGGGCUGGAGGCCACUUGGGUCUGACAGACUGCCCUGCUGCCAUCCCUCCAGGGCACCCCCCACUCCCUUGCCUCAGGGCCUUCCUGCACUUCUUCCUUUUGUCCUCAAUGUUCUUCACCCCACCUUUUCCACUGGUACCCUCUGCCUAUGGUCAAGGCUUUGGUGAGACCCACUUUCCUCUUAGACCUUCCUGGAUCCCCCAAAGUCUGUGUUGGAAGCCCCUCCCAUGUGCCCUUGUUUGAGCUUUUAAUUUUCCACCAUGACGCUUGUCACACUGCUUUGUAAUUGGCUCUCUGUUAGUCUGCAUCUCUACUGGGUUGUACCUUCCAGGAGGACAGCUGCCAUGUGACUCUUGUAAUCUUCCCACCGCCAACACCCAGCACAGCGUCAGGAACACAGAGCAUGAUGAGCACAAGCUUGUUGAGCAAACAGACAAAUAACUGGAUGCUUCUGUGCAGAGUUUCUCAACCUGGCCAUUAUUGGCAUUUGGGACUUGAUCAUGCUUGGUCGUGGGAGACGGUUCUGUGCCUGUAGGAUGUUUAGGAGCAUGCUUGGUUUCUACCCACCAGAUGCCGGGAGCACACCCACCCAGCUGUGACAACCAAAAAUGUCUCCAGACACCAUUCCAAAACCAGCGGGAGACAAAAUCGCCCGACAGUCGUUGCUUUAGUGAGUGAAUGUUGACCUAAGCGUCACUUCGCCUGUCUUGAGUCUAGGUCGGGGAGUGGGUUCAGUUAGCCAAUCAGAGAACGCUGAUGGGGCGACCAGUAUAUGCUCAUGAAAUGGGUGGCUGACCUCUUGGGGUCAGAAGAGGGAAAAGUUUUACUGUGUGUUGGCUAAGGACCAUUUUAAGUCCUUCAGUGACCGAUUACCACAUGAGAACACAAGAGGGCGCUCUAACUAAUGAGUUCCGCGGCCGAGAAAACUCCUGGAGUGGGUGCUCCUGGGAUGCUUCAGGUUUAGACACCGGGGUUACGGCAGCUGCCGAGGAAGGCUAAAGCCAGCGUCCUGGAUUCAGACAGACCUUUUAGCCAUUAAAUCCACUAAGAAAGAUCCCUGCGCAUGAAGUUUCCUCCUCGGAAAUAUAGGCAGAAGGGAAAGUAAUUUUAAACUCAUGUGUGCUCCACAGGCCGGGGGCGGUGGCUCAUGCCUGCAAUCCCAGCACUUUGCGAGGCCAAGGAGGGAGGAUCACUUGAGCCCAGAAGUUCGAGACCAGCCUGGGCACCAUGGUGAAACCUCAUCUCUGCAAAAAAAAAAUUAAAAAUUAGCCAGCUAUGGCGGCUCACGCCUCUGGUCCCAGCUACCCAGGAAGCUGAGAUGGGAGGAUCGCUUGAGCCCAGGGGUUCGAGGCUGCGGUGAGCCAUUGUUGUGCCACUGCACUCCAGCCUGGGCAACAGAGCAAGCCCCUGUCUCAACAAAACAAAACAAAACAAAAAAUUCAGUCGUGCUGCAUAAGUAAGGCACCAGGAGUAGGAAUAGGGUCUUUGCAGCUCCCGUGGCAAUUGCCCUUCUCUGGUGGUGGCAAACAGGAAAAGUGAUUUUGGCUAGGCGUGGUUCUCAUCUGUGAAAUUCCACAGCGCAAUGACAGCAGCCUCUCUCCCACCCACUCAAGACACUGUCAGGAAUGUCUUAAGACCUCAGGAGACCACUUCUUUAGCAAGCAAUUUUGUUUUUUGUUUUUUUUGAGAUGGAUUCUCACUCUGUCACUCAGGCUGGAGUGCAGUGGCGCGAUCUCCGCUCACUACAACCUCCGUUUCCUGGGUUCAAGCGAUAAUCUCACCUCAGCCUCUUGAGUAGCUGAUACUACAGGCAUGCGCCACCACGCCCGGCUAAUUCUUGUAUUUUUAGUAGAGACAGGGUUUCAUCAGGCUGGUCUCAAACUCCUGACCUCAGGUGAUCCGCCCACCUCAGCCUCCUGAAGUGCUGGGAUUACAGGCGUGAGCCACCUUGCCUGCCCUGGCAAGGAAUACAUUUUUAAAAAUUAGUAAGAAACAUACACAUUUCAAGUUUUCAAUUAAGAAUAAUAUUUGCUGAUGGCACCAUCUUCCUGUCUUUCAGCCUUCAGCAUGGUAGAGGAAAAGAGAAAGAGUGUAGACAAAAACAGUUGAAGAACAUCUGUGCUUGUUCCACCUUCAUUUUCUGUUUUGUGCGUUGCCUGAAUGAACGGUGUCUUCAGGUUGGUAUUUCACAGGCGGUGCUCCCAAGUAGUCUGGUUUUCCCAUUUGUGGAGGGCGAGGUCAUAGAGGGGACAGGGGGAGGCUGUCUGGUCAGCACUGUGUAUUUCCAAAGAACAAGGACUAGCCAAAACUACAAGCCUUUGAAGGACCAAAGGAAAAGAGAAAAAACCAGCCUCUAACCAGGCCAUGCGCUAGAAAUGAUUGAGUAUAAAAAAGAAAAUUGGUUUCUGUGUAUGAGGGUGCAUGGAAAAGGUCUUUAUCUCUGCACAAAACAAAAUAUUCAAGUUUCAGAAUAUCCCAAUGGCCUUGCCCUGGAUCUCCUCUUGUGCUCUUCCAAUUUCCAAGGAUGUUCCAACUUGGUGGAAGGAGGGUAUGUGGGAAAUUCAACAGCCCCUCUGUAUCUCUUUCUACCCAACAUUAACUUAGCAGGAUGGAUUUAAGAACCGGCAGCUUAGCCUGAGGAAUUGCUGUGUUCUGUGGGAGCAGGGCAGGUUCAUAAAUAAGUGCACAGAGGUCUUGAAAUACAGGGAUUAUCUGUUCUUCUCGGAACAUGGAUGUCCUUCCAGGGAUGUGCAUCUGGCCUUGCUGUCUAAGUUCCAUCAAGGGAGCCUUCCGUUCUCUGUAGCGACAAGAAACAAGGCAAGUUAUGAUCACACCUCUCAAGAUUGAAGAUUGCCCUGGUGGAGAGAAAUGCAAAAUGACAGCACUUCUCAAAGAAAAUGCAAAGCAGGGCUGUCACACACUGGUCCCCCACCCUGCAGGGUUCUCUCUGUGACUUCAGAGGCCCAAGGAGUCCUCAGCACUACAGAUACACGUGGCCCCUCAGAAGACAACAUUUCACAGAUCUGCAAAGAAUAAAGGUCAAAUUUACUUAAUACAACACCCACCAGGGUUCCUGCAGCUGUGUCACUGAGGCAAACAGGGAAAGUAAUUUUGGUUAGGUGUGGUUCUCACCUCUGAAAUUCCACAGCACAAUGACUGCAGCCUCUCUCCCACCCACUCAAGACAUUGUCAGGAACGUCUUAAGACCUCAGGAGACCACUUCUUUAGCAAGCAAUUUUUUUUAGAUGGAUUCUCACUCUGUCACUCAGGCUGGAGUGCAGUGGCGCGGUCUCUGCUCACUACACCCUCCCUCUCCUGGCUCCUGCCCGUAUGUAUUUCUCCUUCUCUCCAUGCCUGCUCUGUAGGGACCAUAGCCUCUGUCCCUGCAUACAUGUUGGACAUCAAUCACAUCAGUCCACCAAGUAACUUCAUCAAGCACCCAUGUACGCCCAGCACAGCGUCCCAAGGGUGCCCCACUUACCCACAGAAGAAGAAAGGCAACUUUGUAAGAGAUCUGACUUCUAGCUCCAGUUCUGUCUCUAGCUAACGUGAGAUGUACCCGUUUGAGGCCUGUUUUUUAAUUUUGAAAAUGAAGGACUGAACUUAGAUGGUCCAACUGAAAUGUUUUAAAAUGAUAUGAUUCUACCUUAAAAAGAGAAUGAAAUUCUGAUAUAUUUUCAACACAGGAAAACCUUGAAAACGUUAUGCUAAAUGAAAUAAGGCAGACAUGAAAGGACAAAUAUAUGAUUCCACUUAUGUGAUGUACCUCAAAUAGUCAAAUUCAUAGAGACAGAAAGUAGACAGUGGUUGCUAGGGGUUGCUGGAGGGGCAAUGGGGAGUUAGUGUUUAAUGGGUACAGUGUUUCAGUGGCUGCUCUGCCUAUGGAGUAGCCAUUCUUUUGUUUCUUUACUUCUCUAAUAAACUUGCUUUCACUUAAAAAGAAAAAGCUCUGGAGAUGGAUAGUGGUGGUGGUUGCACAGCAAUGUGAACGGACCUAAUGCAACUGAAUUAUACACUUUAAAAUGGUUAAGUAUACACUGGAAAAUGGUGAAUUUGCCGGGCGGGCGCAGUGGCUCACGCCUGUAAUCCCAACACUUUGGGAGGCCGAGGCGGGUG
RNAcentral lists this long non-coding RNA (5046 nucleotides) under Homo sapiens (human). Its description in RNAcentral is "HSALNT0243822". The record is from RNAcentral. Lineage: Eukaryota; Metazoa; Chordata; Mammalia; Primates; Hominidae.